Molecule: long non-coding RNA, 5385 nt
Organism: Brassica napus (rape)
Lineage: Eukaryota; Viridiplantae; Streptophyta; Magnoliopsida; Brassicales; Brassicaceae
Exons: 5
Source: RefSeq, a predicted model, not a curated record
GUGUUCAACUUCUAGUAGUAGCGUGUAUAAUGCAUAAACUCAAAGCUCUUGGUAUGCCUAUACGAUCAAGAAGGAAAAUGGAAGAUCGAACUAGACCUAGCUGCAAUUCUCAUCAUGGAACAUAUAUACUCUUGCUUCUGAAAUUCGGACUCUCACAUCUUGUCCCUGAAGAGCAUGUGUGAAGAAUUUGACACUAGUACAAGACAUGUACUGAAAACAACAACAACAACAACAAGUGAUGGGCGGAUCUACGUUCUGUAAGAAGGGGGCAGCUGCCCCCAGUAAAAUCUACAAAGAAAUUUAUGUGCACGGGAAAUACUAUACUUUCAACAGCUUAAUUGGUUCCAAAUCUUACUAUGUCCCCUCCCCAUACCACGUUUCAAUCUUCCGCAUGUCCCCAUUUACUCAAUUUUCUAUAGCUUAUCUUCGGUUUAUUAUUUUUUUUUUGUCUACAUGUAUUGCCUUUCUUUACUCACGUAUUUUAGGGGGUGGUAUUGAAUUCAAGAAUUUGAAAGAAUUCACAUGUAAUAACUUUUGCAGUAUUUUAAAUGAUUUUAUGAGAUUUUAAUGCAAUUGUCUAAUUCUUAUGUUUACUUUUUGCCAUAGAAUUUAAGUGAAUGUAAAUUAAUUUGAUGGAAUUCAAAUGGUAAUACUAACGCUAUGAAUGAUAACGAAAAAAUACACAACUAGUAGUUAACUCUUAGAUAUUUUUUUACCAAAAUAAAACACUUGGGAAAAUUUUACUUUUUGUAGAUAGAUUUUUUUUACUAAAGGAAUCUUUUUGGGUGAACUAGCCAUGGGCAUUCGGGUUGAGUGAAACUGAUGACAUUUUAUUUUAUAUCAAAGUGUUGAAACUUGUUUUUUCGGAUAUUCGGGUACCGUUCGGUUCUCGGUUCGGUUUCGUUUCCGAUUCGGUUAUUCAGAUAUAGAAAUAUAGAAACCAUUCAGGUAUUUGAGGCGGUCCGGUUUUGGUUUCGAAUAAUUUGGUUUGGUUCUAGUUCAGUUUUUCGGUUCCGGUUUUGGAAGAAGAGAGACAUGGAAUUGGGCUGGUGUAGGUGAUAUGUCUUCUAAAGACGUAGUGGGUUACCGUGAGGUCAAAUUGGUUCUAAAAAUAACAAAUCCCUUCAUAAAAGCAAGGAAUUGAUCCUUUGCAUUUUACAUUACAUUUUCCAUUAAAUUCCUUUCAAAUAACAUUCCUAUUAAAUCUAGCAAAUAUUGAAUAACACUAGAAUUUAAAUGAAUUGGUAAAAUACGCAAUUGAAUAACACAAGAAUUUAAAAGAAUUGAUAAAAUACACAAUUGAAUAACACUAGAAUUUAAUGGAAACCAUAAUUCCUUCAAAUUCUAUCAAAUUUCUAAAUCCAAUACCCCCAAGUCUCCUUAGUCUUUUUAUUCUUUUUUUAAUUCAAAACCAAAUUUGUAUUUAAUAUUUUGUUUCAUUUAUAACAAAGAGAUAGUUGGUUUCAUUUUAUCUUCUUCCUUAUAUUAUAUAAAAAACUUUACUCUAAACAAUUUCAGUAGUUUUUUAUAUAGCAUUAUCAAAUAUAGAAUAAUAUAUAUUUAUUAAUUUAAUAUUAUUUAUUUUUAUUUGUCUCCACUCAAAAUAGUUUCUAAAUCUGCCACAGAGUCAACAACAAGACGGGGAGCAAUCUUGACGUGAAGAAAAUAGAUUCAAAGAAUACCAAAAGGCUUUUUGUGUGUGUGUGCGCGACAGUUAGAUCUUUUGUCGCGUCCUGUGUGAUAAGGUUAAUUAUAAUCAUGGGUCUCCUAGCAUUUUUAAUGUCUGGGUGUGACCGGUAACCAUCGUAAAAACAAUAGGAAUGAUAAGAAAAUAAUAAGUGGGAAUAAAAUUUUAGAAAUGAUGAAGAAUUCUGGUUUUUUAUCAAAAUUAAUGAGAAAUUGAUUUGUUCUAUAAUUCUCUACAAACAAAUGAAUGAAGAUAAAUGAAAAGAAAAACAUAUUACUUAUGAAUGGUAAAAAGUUUAACGAAUGUUAAAAAACAUAAUAUUUAUCCUCAUUUUUUUGGUCACCGGUCACACACAGGAGGACAUAGUGUUCCUCAUUAUGAAUGGUAAAAAGUUUCACAAUUCACAUCAUCAGCAACAACUUGGAACAUCUCUUAUACUGUGUAUAACAGUUUGUGUACUCGAUGAAUGGUUGCAAGGUCGUAUUAUUGAUUAGUAAACUUUUCUCAUUUAUGAUCAAAAGUCUUGUAAAAGAUGGAAUUUUAGAACAAUAAUUUUCUUUUUUGGGUCAAAGAUAUGGUUUUUUCUUUUCAUUUAAAGAUGAUUUGUCAAUUUCUCCUUUUUGGAUUAGUGGAAAAUUCUUUUUCGAAUGGUAAGGUUUACAGUUAUUUUCCUCACCUAAUCAGACUAUCAAAUUACCAAAUGUGUUUAUGCCCCUGAUUGCAGUUUCAACGGUUUUAUUUAUGACGCUAUAUAUUAAACACGUAUAUGCUUCCUCUACAAUAUACAAAAUGUCAAAGAUAGAGAAUCAAGCUGCUAAUAUGCUGUCAAGAAAGUCUUAUGAUGAAGAAUCAAUAUUUUUUUUUCUUUGUAUGUAUUCCAUUACAUCUCUAGAAUAUGGGAAGUUAGAAAAAAACAUAUAUAUAUAUAUAGCCAGGACAAGUCUCAAAAUAUCACAUGAUUUGAUUUGUAUAAUUGCCAUCAAAAUUCAAAAAGGCCACAUAAAUUAAGUUUACUGAAGGUUGAAUUUGUAUAGGAAACGUCAUUAUUUACUAAAUUUAUGGUAACUAACUAACUAUCUAUCUAUACUAAUAAAGUUGGAUUUAGUCUCUCUUUAUGCUGCCACAUCAUCAAUAUGCAUAGGAAAUUUUUACCACGUGUCACUUCAUUAAAUCUUCAAAGAAAUCGAUUUUUUUCCAUUCUGAAAAACAUCUCGAAACCCAUUAUGGGCUCUACAACACGAAGACUUCUGUUCGGGCCUAUAUCAUGUUGUUUUCCUAGGCUCAGGUUUUGUGUAUGAGCUUACGAUCCCUUUUCCGCUUCCUGUAAUCCAACAUUAGGGUUUCUGUAAUCCAAGAGCUUACCAUCCCUCUUCCACUUCCUCGGCCAAGUAACGCUCGGGACUUAUGUCAUUCAAUGAGGAAAACCUAAAAAUCCCAUGAACUCGUCUUCAUUGCUGCCUUUAUUUGUUGUUCAGCAGAUCUCUUCACCAUCAAUAUAUAUUUUCGACGUAGCCUCCCUGUUUCCCAUAGUUUCCACCUAUUACUUCUGGACUGAAUCUCUCAGACAAGAUCUUCAAAAAUGGCAACUUCCAGCUACACCUUUCUGAGUUGAAGACACACCAGUGAAAAGAUAUUGUUCAGACGAGACUUCUCCGUUUUUGGGCGUCUCAGAAUGUGAAGAAAGGAGGUUAAUUGAUGAGCGUGGAUAUGCUACUGCUUGAUGCCAAGGUAUUUUUUUUAACUGAGAUCUUUUUUAAUUAACUACAUUAUUAUCGAAGUUGUGUUCAAGAUGUUGUCUAGGUAACUUGCUUUCUUCUCUGGUGACAGUGGUUCAGGGCUUCAGGCAUCGAUAAAUGUAUAUCGGUUGAACAACUUCUAACACUUAUUGACUGAAGGGUCUGUUUAUGAGCUGGGUGCUUUUGAUGUAACAAGAAGCAACCGGGAAGUCUUUAUGGAGAUAUCCGAAACAGUUCAAACCAAUCCCGAUGGAGCACUUCAGAUUUAUCAGGUUAAAUUUAAAUUCACACUUUUAAUACUUCUCAAUAUAUUAUUUUGAUAUAAGACUUACUAGCUUUGCGUAUGUUUCUACCACAUAUAUUGUUGGGCAAGUAAAGGGGACUAGAACUUCAUACAAUAAAAGAGACUCAGAGUACAACGCAUCAUGAUUACCAUAAGCAUCAAAAGGUAUAAACUCAUACAUUUUUUUUUCUAUUAAAGUUUAGCCAACUUUCUUUAUCAUGCAACUAGCUCCAAUUCUUAAAUAUAUAGUAUGCUCAUCUAUACUGAAAAGUAAUAUUCUAGCUGUCUUCACUAUUUCGUGAUUUGGUAUUACUAUAUACAAACUGCUUUUGGACCAAAGCAAAUCAACAUCAUAUCAUAUGUAUGUUUUAUGGAUAAACGUGGGACCAUCUCUAAAUAAAACUCUCAGUCUUACGAAUGCAGGUUCCAAAUAAUUAAUGAGCAUUAUCUCUGUAGAACCCAUACAUUUGUAUAGAUUAUACGUUCCUUUCUUAAUAAAUAAUUUGAGCUGUCAUCCUAAAUUAUAAUUUGAUCUUAUCUUCUCCAAUGCUUCAAGCAAAUUUAGAAAGCAACUAGGUCCAUGCAUUGGCAUGUAUAAAAAAAUUUGUAACUGUCGUUCCAGGAACUCAAAUGUAUGCGUAAGUGCGUUUGAAGGAUUGGUAAAAGCCCUUGAUGAAAUGAGAAUUUCUGAGUAGGAGUAUUGAACCGAAGGUGGUGGUUGCCACAAACUUCAACCUCAAUUGGGAGUAAAAAAUUAACCACCAUUUCUUAAGCAUGAUAUAGCUGGUCUUAAAAUGUUAAUUGACUCAAGCUCUUUUUCAGGUCGGCUCUUCCUGAAUGCAACCUCUGCAAUCCAUUUCUAUUUUAAUAAUGAGAGUGGUGCAGGUAAAAGUUAUCUUGAGAGGACAUGUGGCAUUGGCAAAGGCUCGACCUCCGGCCCUACAAAAUAUGGGGGUGUUAAGAAGAUUGAGUUAAUAACGGUAGCAGAGCUUAAUGACCGUCAUGAAAUCUCCACCGCAGUCAGAAGAAUUCAUUUGCACUGGCGUUGUAAGUUGAAUCAACACAUCAAAUGGAUGGCGCUACAUUUCUUGUUCCAAGUGCUACCGAAAAUUGCAGUGUGAGUUUACAUCAGUCACAUGGGCUUCCUGUAAUGAGGUGAAUGCUGUUGGAGUCAUAAGGUACCAUGUGCAAAUGACUGUUUGGUGCAACCGACACUAACACAUUUGCAGCUUUUGACACUGAAAUAACUAAACUGACCAAUAUCCGGCCUGCAGACGUCUCCCACCAGUAGGCUACAGGUCCACAAGACCCACAUGAUUGGACCUUCCACAAUGCUUACAGGAGAUUGUUGGGCGAACUUUAACCUUCUAUUUAAACCUAUCUCACUUCAACUUCACUGCAAAAUAACAAAAUUUCACUCUUGCAUUCUUGACAACAAGUCAACAACCAAUGUCCUCCCUAGCAUAAUUUUGAGGUCCAGUUGGUCAAUAUAACCAGUACCAAAUUAUUAACAAUUUAAAAUAGUUGGUUUAAUUUUCUUAGUCAUUUGUACAUUUAAUGUUAAACUUAGAUCAGUACAUAAAUUAAUUAAAAUUUUCCAUAAAAAAUUUCUUCACACUGAAGAUAUAAUAAUCUGCAUAUAAAAAACAAGAAAAAAAUAAAUGAGAUGAAUUCAUAUA